RNAcentral lists this ribosomal RNA (407 nucleotides) under uncultured bacterium. RNAcentral describes it as "bacterial SSU rRNA". It matches the Rfam family "Bacterial small subunit ribosomal RNA", at positions 355 to 774 of the family's 1533-position model. The record is from RNAcentral.
UGGGGAAUAUUGCACAAUGGGCGAAAGCCUGAUGCAGCAACGCCGCGUGAGGGAUGACGGCCUUCGGGUUGUAAACCUCUUUUGGCAGGGAAGAAGCGCAAGUGACGGUACCUGCAGAAAAAGCACCGGCUAACUACGUGCCAGCAGCCGCGGUAAUACGUAGGGUGCAAGCGUUGUCCGGAAUUAUUGGGCGUAAAGAGCUCGUAGGCGGUUUGUCGCGUCUGCUGUGAAAACGCGAGGCUCAACCUCGCGCCUGCAGUGGGUACGGGCAGACUAGAGUGUGGUAGGGGAGAUUGGAAUUCCUGGUGUAGCGGUGGAAUGCGCAGAUAUCAGGAGGAACACCGAUGGCGAAGGCAGAUCUCUGGGCCAUUACUGACGCUGAGGAGCGAAAGCGUGGGGAGCGAACA